RNAcentral lists this ribosomal RNA (539 nucleotides) under Cryptorhynchinae gen. sp. ARC4841. RNAcentral describes it as "partial 16S large subunit ribosomal RNA". The stretch from base 388 to 539 matches the Rfam family "Archaeal large subunit ribosomal RNA", at positions 2542 to 2694 of the family's 2987-position model. The record is from RNAcentral. Lineage: Eukaryota; Metazoa; Arthropoda; Insecta; Coleoptera; Curculionidae.
GUCUUAUUGAUAUUAAUUUUAAGUUUGACCUGCCCAAUGAUUAAAAUUUAAUGGCCGCAGUAUUUUAACUGUGCAAAGGUAGCAUAAUCAUUAGUUUUUUAAUUGAAAGCUUGAAUGAAAGGUUUGAUGAAAAAAUAACUGUCUCUAUUUAAUUUAAAUAAAAAUUUAUUUUUAAGUAAAAAAGCUUAAAUAUUUAUAGAAGACGAGAAGACCCUAUAGAGUUUUAUAUUUAUUAAAAUAAAUGUAAAAUAUAGAAUAUAAUAAUUUUAUUUUAAUAAGUAUUUUGUUGGGGUGAUAGAAAAAUUAAUUAAACUUUUUUUUUAUGAAAACAUUUAUUUAUGAUUAAUUGAUCCUUUUUUAAAGAUUAAAAGAUUAAAUUACCUUAGGGAUAACAGCGUUAUUUUUUAAUGAAGUUCAAAUUUAAAAAAAAGAUUGCGACCUCGAUGUUGGAUUAAAAUGAAUUAUUGGUGUAGAAGCUAAUAUUUUAGGUCUGUUCGACCUUUAAAAUUUUACAUGAUCUGAGUUUAAACCGGUGUAAG